UGAAGUGACAAACUGAACCUGGGCUUUUC
Molecule: non-coding RNA, 29 nt
Filed under: Rattus norvegicus (Norway rat)
Lineage: Eukaryota; Metazoa; Chordata; Mammalia; Rodentia; Muridae
Source: RNAcentral